Molecule: ribosomal RNA, 468 nt
Filed under: uncultured Desulfobulbus sp.
Lineage: Bacteria; Pseudomonadati; Thermodesulfobacteriota; Desulfobulbia; Desulfobulbales; Desulfobulbaceae
Description: bacterial SSU rRNA
Rfam family: Bacterial small subunit ribosomal RNA
Source: RNAcentral
CCCGCACAAGCGGUGGAGUAUGUGGUUUAAUUCGAUGCGACGCGAAGAACCUUACCUGGUCUUGACAUCCCGGAGACCCUUAGGAAACUAGGGGGUGCUUCCAUCUGGAAGAAUCUGGAGACAGGUGCUGCAUGGCUGUCGUCAGCUCGUGUCGUGAGAUGUUGGGUUAAGUCCCGCAACGAGCGCAACCCUUGCCUUUAGUUGCCAGCAGUUCGGCUGGGCACUCUAAAGGGACUGCCGGUGUUAAACCGGAGGAAGGUGGGGAUGACGUCAAGUCCUCAUGGCCUUUAUGACCAGGGCUACACACGUACUACAAUGGCCGAUACAAAGGGCAGCGACACUGCGAGGUGAAGCCAAUCCCGUAAAAUCGGUCUCAGUCCGGAUUGGAGUCUGCAACUCGACUCCAUGAAGUUGGAAUCGCUAGUAAUCGUGGAUCAGCAUGCCACGGUGAAUACGUUCCCGGGCCUU